Molecule: ribosomal RNA, 688 nt
Filed under: Halomonas sediminicola
Lineage: Bacteria; Pseudomonadati; Pseudomonadota; Gammaproteobacteria; Oceanospirillales; Halomonadaceae
Description: bacterial SSU rRNA
Rfam family: Bacterial small subunit ribosomal RNA
Source: RNAcentral
UUCUGGACUGACACUGACACUGAGGUGCGAAAGCGUGGGUAGCAAACAGGAUUAGAUACCCUGGUAGUCCACGCCGUAAACGAUGUCGACUAGCCGUUGGGUCCCUUGAGGACUUUGUGGCGCAGUUAACGCGAUAAGUCGACCGCCUGGGGAGUACGGCCGCAAGGUUAAAACUCAAAUGAAUUGACGGGGGCCCGCACAAGCGGUGGAGCAUGUGGUUUAAUUCGAUGCAACGCGAAGAACCUUACCUACCCUUGACAUCGUGCGAACUUGGUAGAGAUACCUUGGUGCCUUCGGGAGCGCACAGACAGGUGCUGCAUGGCUGUCGUCAGCUCGUGUUGUGAAAUGUUGGGUUAAGUCCCGUAACGAGCGCAACCCUUGUCCCUAUUUGCCAGCGAUUCGGUCGGGAACUCUAGGGAGACUGCCGGUGACAAACCGGAGGAAGGUGGGGACGACGUCAAGUCAUCAUGGCCCUUACGGGUAGGGCUACACACGUGCUACAAUGGCCGGUACAAAGGGUUGCGAAGCCGCGAGGUGGAGCCAAUCCCGAAAAGCCGGUCUCAGUCCGGAUCGGAGUCUGCAACUCGACUCCGUGAAGUCGGAAUCGCUAGUAAUCGUGAAUCAGAAUGUCACGGUGAAUACGUUCCCGGGCCUUGUACACACCGCCCGUCACACCAUGGGAGUGGAC